This 387-nucleotide ribosomal RNA is filed under the name uncultured bacterium. RNAcentral's name for it is "bacterial SSU rRNA". It matches the Rfam family "Bacterial small subunit ribosomal RNA", at positions 28 to 414 of the family's 1533-position model. The record is from RNAcentral.
AUUGAACGCUGGCGGCAUGCUUUACACAUGCAAGUCGAACGGCAGCACGGGCUUCGGCCUGGUGGCGAGUGGCGAACGGGUGAGUAAUGCAUCGGAACGUGCCCAUGUUGUGGGGGAUAACUACGCGAAAGCGUGGCUAAUACCGCAUACGCCCUGAGGGGGAAAGCGGGGGAUUCUUCGGAACCUCGCGCAAUUGGAGCGGCCGAUGUCAGAUUAGCUUGUUGGUGAGGUAAAGGCUCACCAAGGCGACGAUCUGUAGCGGGUCUGAGAGGAUGAUCCGCCACACUGGGACUGGGACACGGCCCAGACUCCUACGGGAGGCAGCAGUGGGGAAUUUUGGACAAUGGGGGCAACCCUGAUCCAGCCAUGCCGCGUGAGUGAAGAAGG